Cyprinus carpio carpio is the source of this 6015-nucleotide long non-coding RNA. The record is from Ensembl. Lineage: Eukaryota; Metazoa; Chordata; Actinopteri; Cypriniformes; Cyprinidae.
AUGUCGGCUCAUGUUUCCUCCCCAGCCACAGAGUGGGAGAGGAAUAGUUUUGAGGGAACUCGCCUGGUGGUUUUCCGGGGGACCAGGGGAGGUCGCCGAGGAGGGAGUGGUCGAGAGGAGGCUCAGCAUCGCUCUCAACCAUGGCCCCCCUUCGACCCGGGGCUCGGGUGGGAUGGAUUAGAGCCACUAUCUCACCAUGGCGGACGGAGAGGGGAGAAGAAGCGCAGGUCUGCCAUGGUGGCGCCACUGCCCAUGAUGGCUGCAGGGCCAGCGCCACGAGGCAGGAUGGACGCCAGCCCAGCGCCACAGCACAAGGUGGUCACCAGCCCCACACCACGAGGCCAGACGGCCGCCAGCCCAGCGCCACUGCCCAAGAUGGCCGCUGAGACAUUUUUGGAUUACUUCUCCAUGUUGAACAAGAUCCUAGAGAUUCCCAGGAGUGUUCACGUCACGGCUGCUGAGCCAGCGCCACAGUCCAAGAUGGCCGCCAGCUCAGUGUGCCCAGCACCACAGCACAAGAUGGCUGCUAACCCAGCGCCAAUGCCCAAGAUGGGCGCCAGCCAAGCACCACAGCACAAGAUGGCCGCCAUCCCAGGGCCACUGCACAAGGUGGUCACCAGCCCCACACCACGAGGCCAGACGGCCGCCAGCCCAGCGCCACUGCCCGAUGCCGAGGCGGUGCCCGAUGCUGUUCUGGAGGCCAAGGUGGUGCCCGUGCUGUUCCGGAGGCCAAGGCGGAGGCCAAAGCGGUGCCCGAUGCUGUUCCGGAGGCCGAGGCCGAUGCCGAGGCGGUGCCCGAUGCGGUUCCGGAGGCCGAGGCGGUGCCCGAUGCGGUUCCGGAGGCCGAGGCGGUGCCCGAAGGCGGUGCCCGAUGUGGUUCCGGAGGCCGAGGCGGUGCCCGAUGCCGAGGCGGUGCCCGAUGCUGUUCCGGAGGCCGAGGCGGUGCCCGAUGCUGUUCCGGAGGCCGAGGCGGUGCCUGAUGCCGAGGCGGUGCCCGAUGCUGUUCCGGAGGCCGAGGCGGUGCCCGAUGCUGUUCCGGAGGACGAGGCGGUGCCCGAUGCCGAGGCGGUGCCCGAUGCUGUUCCGGAGGCCGAGGCGGUGCCCGAUGCUGUUCCGGAGGCCGAGGCGGUGCCCGAUGCCGAGGCUGUGCCGGAGGCCGAGGCGGUGCCCGAUGCGGUGCCGGGGGCCGAGGCGGUGCCCGAUGCUGUUCCGGAGGCCGAGGCGGUGCCCGAUGCUGUUCCGGAGGCCGAGGCGGUGCCCGAUGCCGUGCCCGAGAUGGUUCCCGAGGCUGUUCCCGAUGUGGUGCCCAAGGCCGAGGCGGGGUCCACAGGCCGACCAGAGCAUCUUCACGUCUCCACAGGCCGUCCAGAGCAUCUUCACGUCUCCACAGGCCGUCCAGAGCACCUUCACGUCUCCACAGGGGCCCCGGAGUGGCAGGUUCCGUCCUGGCCGCUCAAAUGGCGGGUUCUUCCCUGGCCGUCUGCACAACCUGAACUUUCGGGUCCACCCUGGUCCCCUAAACUGACUGAUCCACCUUGGCUACCGGUGGAGCCAUCGCUUCCUGUCCCGGUUCCCCUACAUGGGCCUGGCCCUCCAUCCCUCCCCCUGUUUUACCUCCACCAGUCCACCUCCCUCCUGGUCUUGUUGUUGUUGUUGUUGUGUUUGUUUUUCCACUUCCUGUCCCUGACGUCUUGGAGUGUCUGGUAGCCACUCCGUAGAGGGGGGGUUAUGUCACAGUGUCUGGGUUGUGUUCCCUGGGUAACCACUAGAUGUCCUCCUUCCCCACGGUGUCUGUCACUUAAUGAACCACAUUACCCACGAUCCCUGUCUCUUCAUUGCACUCAGCUGUCACUGGUUAGUAAUCAUUGCACGCAGUCAAUUCCCCAUUAGCGUUUGUCAUGUCCCUGUGUAUUUAUACCGGUCUGUCUUAGUAUGUGUCACGGAGUCCUUGUUUAUUCUCGUCCGUCUCUUGUCGUGCUCUAGCCUUGUGUCCUUGUUUGUUUAUGUUUGGUAUUGACCCCUGCCUGGACUGUUUAUUCUUUGGAUUGCCCUUAAUAAAAGACAUACUCGCAUUUGGAUCUCUCACAGUGUUUCCUUGUAUCCCGGACGUGACAGAUCUGUACACCAUCCUCCAUUGUUUCAACGACAGCUGGUAAUGUCUCCUAAGAAACAUAAGUGUUCUGUUGUGGGAUGUAAUAAUGAACAUAGUAGUUUUCACUUACUUCCGACAUCAGAGCCACUGAAAACGCAGUGGAUGGAUUUUAUUUACGAAGGAAAGGCGCCACUCAAAAUUCCAAAAUACAUUUGUUUGCGCGAAUCAUUUUUUGACUGACUGUUUUGAGAACGAGGGUCAAUUCAAAGCAGGUCUUGCUUCAAAGUUAAUCCUCAAGUGUGGAUCGUUGCCUACUGUUCACGAUCCAACGUCACCUCCAGAAGAAGUAAGUGUAUUUAAUGUUUUUUGAGCAAAUAGUCAUUUCAGUCGAUGUCAGCCAAUUCAAUAACAAAUGCAUCUAAAGUUGUCGUCGUCGUAGAAUGUCUGUGUAUAUAAUUUAAACUUUGUAUAGUGUGUAUCCACACGUAUAUAAUUUUUUUUUUUUAAGAUAUUGUAACCUUUGAUACAACAAAUAGCGUCAGACAGUUUUAUUUCACGUAUUUUUUGCAACAAUUGCAAAUGUAAAUAAAUUAAUACCUGUUCUAUCUCCCUGCAGCAUAUAUUUUCUGGUUCUGUAGCCAUCUUCUCACAUUUGCCACAUAAGCACCUGUAUAAAACCAAGUAAUGUCAACAUGAAGCAACCGUUCCCUCGUGUAAAUAUAAUUUCGUUUGUACUUAGCAAACGUUAUCACAGUAUUUGUGUUUGUAGUUUCAAAAAAAUUUGCGAACGUUAUCACAGUGUGUGUGUGUGUGUGUGUGUGUGUUGCACAUCCAUAAUUGCAAAGGGGACGCGAUUAAAACUCUAUGUACAUAAAUGUAUCAAAUAACCAUUCAGAGACGUCCUGCUCCAUUCUCAAUUGUGUUUCUUCUGCCGGAGUCUCUUCAUCAUCUGGGUCUGAUUCCGGUUCAAACAUGUACGGCUGAAUGCCAUACAAAACAGCGGGUCUCUCACUCUCAGCCAUUCUGCUUCUACCGACUGUUUAUUGCCAUAGGUAUGCAAGUUACGCCCUCAUCCAAAGGCAGGGCGGGGAUAUGCAGCUCGUUUAUAUUUAAGGUGGUACACACCAAAACAGCUCUUUUUAAAACAGGCCCCAAAAAUGACAUUUUCAAAUGGUUAUAAUAAAUUAACUGUGGGGUAUUUUGUGCUGAAACUUCACAAAUACAUUCUGGGGACACCCAAGACCAAUAUUACAUCUUGUAAAAAGGGGCAUAAUAGGUGCCCUUUAAUGUGUAAUAUGUAUUAAUUUGUGUAAUACCCUCUUAUUUCCUUUUAUGUUUCCCCUUUGUCUUUUUUUUUAAUGUUUAAAUAAAGCACUUUUUACUUUUCCAACAAGAUUUAAAUGUCUUCAACUCCCUAAAGCUCAUGUGUCACAAAAAAAGCCCUAGGUCUAUGAUCUCCGUGAAGUUGGCACCCCAUUAAAAGGAAUAAUCACCAAAACUAUGCCAUUCGUUUGUGCUACGUUUGUGCUGAUUUGUUCCGCAAAAAUGAACGUUUGUGCUGGUUUGGUGUUUGAGAUAUUAAAAAUUCUUUUUUUUGACCGUGUGACGUCACUCUCCACCCCAUGUUGCCUAAAUCGCUCCAAACCAUCGCAGUUCGUUUGUGCUCGGUUUGUGCCGUUAAAUCAAACACUGUAUCUAUUUUCCUUCCAUAGAUAUAACCAAAAUAUUUUCGGAGGCCGUGACGUCACUCUCCACCCCAGUUCGUCUAAAUCACACAAAACUGGUGUCAUUCGUUUGUGCUCGAUUUGUGCCGGUUUGUGCUGUUGAAAUGAACGUCAAAUAUAUUUCUCCUUCUUAGAAAUAACAAAAACAAUUCUGGGCAGUGACGUCACUCUCCACCCCAUGGCGUCCAAAUCUCUCCAAACCGGUGCCAUUCGUUUGUGCUCGAUUUGUGCUGGUUUGUGCCGUUAAAAGAAACCCUGUAAUUAUGACCGCUUCUUUUAUAUAAAAAAAUAACCUUUUUACGAACAGUGACGUCACUCUCCACCCCAUGCAAUCUAAAUGCUUCCAAACUGGUGCAGUUUGUUUGUGAGGUAUUUGACCUCCGUGAAGUUGGCCCCCCACCCAACGCAAAACGUCAGCAAAAUAGUCUCAGUCGUUUGUGCUGGUUUGUGCUGUAAAAAUUUUCGUUUGUGCCGCUUUGGUUUUUUAGAUUAAAAUAAUAUUUAUAGGUCAAUCUGAGGUCACUCAGCCCCCUACAUAAUCCAAAUUCACCCAAAACAGGUUCAAUCGUUUGUGCUUCGUUUGUGCUGGUUUGUGCCGGUAAAAGUUCCGUUUGUGCCGCUUUGGUUUUUUAGAUUAAAAUAAUAUUUAUAGGUCAUUCUGAGGUCACGCUCCAAAUUUACCCCAAAAAAUCUUGUUUGUUUGUGCUUCGUUUGUGCUGGAAAUAUUUUCGUUUUUGCUACUGUUUUUUUUAAAGAUUGUUUUUCCCUAGUCAACUAGUCCCAUGUUUAUAUUAAAUUGAUUAAUAAUAACCUAUUAAACCAUCCUUUUAAUAUAAAGGCAUUUAUAGCCUAUUCCACGCUCAAGCGCGCAUAAAGCACUGGAAAGUAUUGAUUGAAUGCAUAGGGGGAAAAGAAGACAUUGUAAUUAUUUAUUACUUAUUUAUUACUUCUAAUAUUAUUAUAAAUAUUAGAAGUAUAUCUCUGUGCUAGAUUAUUGAUGGGGAGCUGGGCAAUUACUAGUGAAUAUGACCAAAAUAAGGUGUUAUUAUUAUUUUUAUAUGAAUAAUAAAAGCGCUAUAUAGGCGCAUUUCAUGUGUUUAUGAGGAGUGUGGUAGUAUUAUCGCGGCUACUGUAUGAAAUGGAGGCGCCCGCAUAAUCCCUCGCAUUUUUAUUUUCUUUUUUUUUUUUCUGUGGAAAUAAUUUUUUUUGGAUGUGCUUUCUGUCGUCUAAUGCAGUCUCCCUGAAUGGAGCACGUCACAACAAUGAACCGGCUCACAGACAAGAAAUAAAUCUAUAUAAAUCUUAAAUGUUAGUUGGGGACACUUCAUUUACAGCGAUAUCGUUGACUUGAUUGCAAAUUAUUGCACAGAUACCAUUUAAACUGAACUGAGCUGCAUGAUGACAUCACUGAAUUCAAUGAUGAACUGCCUUUAACUGUCAUUUUGCAUUAUUGACACUUUUCCUAAUUAAUGUUGUUCAGUUGCUUUGACGCAAUCUUUUUUGUUUAAAGCGCUAUAUAAAUAAAGAAAUGGAAUAGGCUAUAAAUGCCUAUAUAUUAAAGGAUGGUUUAAUAGGUUCUUAUAUUAAUCAACUUAAUAUAAACAUGGGACUAGUUGACUAGGGAAAAAAAUCUUUUAAAAAACAGUAGCAAACCCGAAAAUAUUUCUAGCACAAAUGAAGCACAAACAAACAAGUUUAUUUGGGGUAAAUUUGGAGCAUGUGGGGGGCUGAGUGACCUCAGAAUGAUCACUAAAUAUUAUUUUAAUAUCUAAAAGACCGACGGAGCACAAAAAUAAAUAAAUAAAUAAAUAAAUAAAAAUACAGCACAGACAAAGAUUAUUUGGGGUAAAUUUGGAGCGUGACCUCAGAAUGAUCACUAAAAAUAUAAAAAAAAAACCGAAGCAUCACAAACGAACAUUUUGACGGCACAAAUUAAACAUAAAGAAGAUUAUUUUGGGUGGAUUUCGAGCAUGUGGGGGGAUGAGUGACGUCAUCGUCUAUAAUUCAUUAUCUAAUAUUUUAAAAACCAAAGCAGCACAAAUGAAACUUUUACCGGCACAAACCAGCACAAACGAAGCACAAACGAUUGAACCUGUUUUGAGUGAAUUUGGAGUAUGUGGGGGGCUGAGUGACCUCAGAUUGACCUAUAAAUAUUAUUUUAAUCUAAAAAACCAAAGCGGCACAAACGAAAAUUUUUAC